CCUACGGGGUGCUGCAGUGGGGAAUAUUGGACAAUGGGCGAAAGCCUGAUCCAGCCAUGCCGCGUGUGUGAAGAAGGCCUUCGGGUUGUAAAGCACUUUCAGUGGGGAAGAAAGCCUUGGGGCUAAUACCCUCGAGGAAGGACAUCACCCACAGAAGAAGCACCGGCUAACUCCGUGCCAGCAGCCGCGGUAAUACGGAGGGUGCGAGCGUUAAUCGGAAUUACUGGGCGUAAAGCGCGCGUAGGCGGUCUGAUAAGCCGGUUGUGAAAGCCCCGGGCUCAACCUGGGAACGGCAUCCGGAACUGUCAGGCUAGAGUGCAGGAGAGGAAGGUAGAAUUCCCGGUGUAGCGGUGAAAUGCGUAGAGAUCGGGAGGAAUACCAGUGGCGAAGGCGGCCUUCUGGACUGACACUGACGCUGAGGUGCGAAAGCGUGGGUAGCAAACAGGAUUAGAUACCCGAGUGGUC
This 465-nucleotide ribosomal RNA is filed under the name Vreelandella stevensii. RNAcentral describes it as "partial 16S ribosomal RNA". It matches the Rfam family "Bacterial small subunit ribosomal RNA", at positions 338 to 795 of the family's 1533-position model. Lineage: Bacteria; Pseudomonadati; Pseudomonadota; Gammaproteobacteria; Oceanospirillales; Halomonadaceae. The record is from RNAcentral.